CCUACGGGCGGCAGCAGUGAGGAAUAUUGGUCAAUGGGCGGGAGCCUGAACCAGCCAAGCCGCGUGAGGGAAGAAGGUACAGCGUAUCGUAAACCUCUUUUGUCAGGGAACAAAGGCGGGGACGAGUCCCGGAUGAGGGUACCUGAAGAAAAAGCAUCGGCUAACCCCGUGCCCGCAGCCUCGGUAAGACGGAGGAUGCGAGCGUUAUCCGGAUUGAUUGGGGUUCAAGGGGGCGCCGGCGGCCUGUUAAGGCAGCGGUAAAAGCCCGGGGCUCAACCCCGGCGAGCCGUUGAAACUGGCGGGCUGGAGUUGGCGAGAAGUACGCGGAAUGCGCGGUGUAGCGGUG
RNAcentral lists this ribosomal RNA (346 nucleotides) under uncultured bacterium. RNAcentral describes it as "partial 16S ribosomal RNA". It matches the Rfam family "Bacterial small subunit ribosomal RNA", at positions 338 to 683 of the family's 1533-position model. The record is from RNAcentral.